This is a long non-coding RNA of Papaver somniferum (opium poppy), 912 nucleotides long. RefSeq lists it as uncharacterized. The record is from RefSeq and is a predicted model, not a curated record. The transcript has 4 exons. NCBI's taxonomy places the organism in Eukaryota, Viridiplantae, Streptophyta, Magnoliopsida, Ranunculales, Papaveraceae.
UCCAAAUUAACAAAAUUUAAAACGGGUUAGUCCAUUUUGUGAUGAUUCAAUCCAAAUCGAUAUUCUCUACUGCCAAAAAUACCCACCACUGAUUAAACUUUUUUUUUCAGUUUCUACUUUUUCCUUCCCAUGUCUCUCCCGUGAAGAAAAAUCAUAAACCUAAUAUCGAUUCAAUGAAAGUUCAAUCUCCAAAUAUAAAUCUCAGAAUGAAACAAACUUUUGAUUCAAUUAGGUUCGACUUGAAAACCUAAAUCUUUGUCAUCGGUACCUUUUUUUUUUUUGAAGAUUAAUUAAUUCAGGAGAAAACUUGAUGAGAUUCAAUUUCAACAUCGAAGAGUUCAUGGUUGAAAGAGAUUGGAAAGUCUGUCUACAGUUAAUGCUAGCGAUACGACCAAUAUCAUUUGGCUAUAGAUAGUCAACAAGGACCAAGCUGUGGUGAAGGCAGGACUAGAAACUGAUGGUGCAACCUGGAAUGUGACAUAUGUUAGCAUGGGAAAUCCUCGUCGUGUUACUUUCUCAUCAAGUGAAUGCAAGCCGACUACAAGACAUGAUCUGGAAAGAUAUAAAGUUUGUGGAGAUAUGGUCUCUACAAGACAUGCUGAAGAAUAUUAUCUCGAUGCUCAUGUUUCGGUGCUUUUCGAGGGAGCUUAAGAAAGUGGAGAAGGACAAUGGAACGAUCUUGUAGAUGGAUAAUCUUUUGUAUUUCUGAUUUUAAUAGCAUGCUUGCUAUACAUUUAGAUACUUGCUAUGUGUAAGAUUUUAAUAGCAUGCAUCUCUGGUGGACGAUUUGAGUUGUAUGUGGUAUGCAAAUAAGUGCUUCUUGUCUUGUCUUUGUUUUUACAUGUGUACAUGUUUGUACACCAGUGUAAACUAAGAUUUUUUUAAAAUGAAAAUUAUAUAGGCAUAUGGGUA